AGCCGCGGUAAUUCCAGCUCCAUUGGCGUAUAUUAAAGUUGUUGCGGUUAAAAAGCUCGUAGUUGGAUCUGUGUAUCAGACGGUCGGUUCGCCGCUCGCGGCGUUUAACUGACCGGUCCGGACGUCCUGCCGGUGGGACCCGGUUCGCGCCGGGGCCCGUAACUCCCUCCGCGCUGCUCUUAACCGAGUGGUUCGGUGGGCCGGCACGUUUACUUUGAACAAAUUUGAGUGCUCAAAGCAGGCCUUAUGUUGCCUGAAAACUGUGUGCAUGGAAUAAUGGAAUAGGGCCUUGGUUCUAUUUUGUUGGCUUUCUGAACUCGAGGUAAUGAUUAAUAGGGACAGACGGGGGCAUUCGUAUUGCGACGUUAGAGGUGAAAUUCUUGGAUCGUCGCAAGACGGACCGAUGCGAAAGCGUUUGCCAAGAAUGUUUUCGCUAAUCAAGAACGAAAGUUAGAGGUUCGAAGGCGAUCAGAUACCGCCCUAGUUCUAACCAUAAACGAUGCCAGCCAGCGAUGCGCCGAAGUUCCUCCGAUGACUCGGCGCGCAGCUUCCGGGAAACCAAAGCUUUUGGGUUCCGGGGGAA
RNAcentral lists this ribosomal RNA (583 nucleotides) under Chiloporter sp. SUN-01-AMT29. RNAcentral describes it as "SSU rRNA". It matches the Rfam family "Eukaryotic small subunit ribosomal RNA", at positions 572 to 1122 of the family's 1831-position model. The record is from RNAcentral. Lineage: Eukaryota; Metazoa; Arthropoda; Insecta; Ephemeroptera; Ameletopsidae.